AUGCGUGCCUCAUCACUCGUCGACCACUGCGCCACCUCACUGGUCGUCGUGGUGCUACUCACCGCAGCCGCAGCGGCACGGACGAAUAACGAGUGCCACUCCGGCGACAAGGCGGCGCUGCUGGCCAUCAAAUCCGCCUUCGGCAACGCAUCCUACUUCAACUCAUGGACGCCCGACACCCCGUGCUGUGAGUGGACCAGCGUCUCCUGUUCCGGUGACGGCUCCGCCGCCGCGCGCCGCGUCGUCGGCGUGUCCUUGGUGGACGACGCCAGCCUCGCCGGCCCGUUGCCCGGCGCCGCCAUCGCCCGGCUCACCGCGCUGCAGCAGCUGGUGCUGAACAACGUGCCCGGCGUGAACGGCACCAUCCCGCGCGACCUCACCCGCCUCAACGCCACCCUCGGCUUACUCGACAUCAUCUCCACGGGCAUCUCCGGCCCGGUGCCGUCGUUCCUGUCCGAGAUCACGGCGCUCAGCUACCUCAGCCUCUCGUCCAACAAGCUCACGGGCCCGAUCCCGGCGUCGCUCGGGGAUAUGCCCAACCUCUACUUCCUCGACCUCGGCUACAACCGCCUCACGGGCACAAUACCGCCGCUGCUCCUCAGGAAGGCCUCCGACGCAUACCUCUACCUCUCCCACAACAAGCUCACCGGCGGCGUCCCGGCCGAGUUCGCCGCCGUGCACUUCUGGACCAUCGACCUGUCGUACAACGGUUUCAAGGGCGAUGCCUCGUCCCUGUUCGGCGCCAACAAGCCGCUGCUGAACGUCGACCUGUCGCACAAUGCCUUCAGCUUCAACCUCUCCGGCGUGCAGCUGCCCGAGGGCCUCAACAGCUUGGAGCUGAGCCACAACGACAUCUACGGCGACAUCCCGGAAAUGGUGGUCGACAUGAUGCUGAAUUAUUUGAACGUGAGCUACAAUCGCCUCAGCGGCGUGGUGCCCGCCGGUGGCAACAUGGCCUGGUUUGAUCAGUCCUGCUUCCAGCACAACAAGGGGCUGUGUGGAAGUCCACUUCCACCCUGCAAGCACUGA
This 1029-nucleotide ribosomal RNA is filed under the name Triticum aestivum (bread wheat). RNAcentral describes it as "partial small subunit ribosomal RNA". The record is from RNAcentral. Lineage: Eukaryota; Viridiplantae; Streptophyta; Magnoliopsida; Poales; Poaceae.